This is a long non-coding RNA of Vicia villosa (hairy vetch), 636 nucleotides long. RefSeq lists it as uncharacterized. Lineage: Eukaryota; Viridiplantae; Streptophyta; Magnoliopsida; Fabales; Fabaceae. The record is from RefSeq and is a predicted model, not a curated record. The transcript has 2 exons.
GGACCCUCACGACCAAACCAACCAUUGACCCUUUCCAAUCUACACGUACAUACCCACAAACUAAGUCUUAUGCUAUACAAACCUGUUCACCUCUUUCACGUACAAUGCCAUUCACAAACUAACCUCAAUCUCAAAAAACCUGCAGCUUUUUGAUCAACACCAAUUCACGAAACAAUUUUUUCUAAUAGCAAAUUACAAGAGGAGAAAAUAGAAGAAGGAGACUGGAAACACACAAACAACAACACCGACGCGCUCCGACGGCAACAACAACAGUACCGUCCAAUCCACUACCGACUGGUCUCAUUUCCGAUCGCCACAGGACGAAUCCGACGGAUCCAUCUUCAGAAGCUCCAGCCGCCGCGCAAUACACCGGAACUGACGCAACCUCUCAAUCCCAACAGCGACACUCGUCGUCCGCUCCCCCCACUGGCAGCAUCAUACCACCACCGGUAAUCUUCUUCUCUAAAUCUGAACCGUUGCCGUGGGUUUACCGCGUCUCUACGACCUGUUAUAUGCAUCCGCCGUUGAAGCUUUGAGGUAACCUUUUGUUUUCAUGUUUAGAGUGAGAGAAGAGAUAUGAGUUUGUGGUUACAAGGGUAAAAUUCAUGUCCAUAAAACUAUAGCAUUUUAGUGGUG